AAAAACUUGAUUUAUAUAAAUAAUAACACGAAUCCCCAGAAGUUUAUCAUCUUUACAAAUCAAAUCUCUUGAAGGAAAAUAACGAACAAAUAAACUAAAAUUUAGAAAACCUUUAUGAAAGAAAGAAAACGAAACUAAAUCUAGAAAGAAUCUAGACUAAUGGAAUGGUGUUUAUAACAUGUGCCAAAGGAGCCUAUUUAUAGCCUUCAGGUGGCUAUUCUCGAGCUUUAAGUUUGAUUGUGCAGACCAAAACGCCACAGCUUUGUGUUUACUUUUCUUCCUAGAGUUGAUGUCGCGACACACCAGGACUUGUGUCGCGACAUAGAAGUCAGUAUGCUCCUUGGGGAUGUCUUCAAGGGUAUGUCGUGCCAUCCUCUGUCUAUGUCGCGACAUUGAAGGCAGUUUCAUACUUUCUCCAUUUUUCUCUUUAUGUUGCAACAUCGGGCCUCCCGUGUUGUGACAUACUGUCUAAUAUCAAUCUAAAAUGCCUUCUAAUAGUCUCCUGCAACUCACAAAGUACGUUAACUCUCCCUUAGAGCUCAUUCAACCUUUAAGGUUAAUGAAAGACUCAAUUCACACAUUUUAUUAGAUAUAAGUAAAACAAAAGAAACUUAACUAAAAUAUAAUGAAAAUGCUUGUAUUCAGGCUCCUUAAGUGUGAAAACUAGUUUAAUCUACUACACCGAAUUAAGACAAAUCAAACUCCCCUACACUUAAGUUAUUGUGUGUAGCAUCUCGAUUUUGGGCCUAGUCGGAACAGUGGUUUUGGGACCACAAAUCCGAUGAGGAAAAAUUUAAUUUUCUUAUAUUUUUAUGGUCUACGAUUUCACAAAAUGAUUUCAUGAAAAUUUUGACGUUUGGGCACUCAAUUUAGUCAAAAGGACUAAAUUGUAAAAAGUACAAAAGUUGAGUUCUACAUGUUAAAGGUGUCCAAUUGUUAUGAAAUUUUAAAUUGGAGGUCCUUAUAUGGUAAUUAGACCAUUGGUUAAGUUGGUAGACAAAAACGGACAUGGUUAGGCAUGUUUCCAAAGUUUUUCAUUAAGGGCAUUUUGGUCAUUUAGUUAUUAAAAUGAAUUAAAAACAAAAUUAAAAGCCAAUUUUUGUCCAUCUUCAACCCCAUGGCCGAAUUUCACAAGGGGAAACCAUGGCUAGGGUUUUUCAAGCUUUCAAGCUCGAUUGUAGGUUUGUUCUAGCCCCGUUUUUAAUGUUCUUUACGUUUUUAGAAUCCCGGUAGCUUAAUUUAGCUUAUUCUAGCAAUAAUUUAACCUAGAGUUCAUAUUUGGAAAAAUACCCAUAGGUGAAAUAUGUUUAUUUUGAUGUUUUAUGGUAGAAUAUGAAGCUAGAAAUUAUGUUAAACAACUUUUGCUAGUCGAUUUUAAGUGAAAACGAGUAAAACAACAUAAUCGGUAAAAAUACCUAAUGUUCAUAAGUGUUAGAGUGAGAAUUUGAUGUUGCCAUAGAAGGGAAAAAUGUUCAGCAUGUCAUAAAACAUAAGAAUAAGGGAUGAGUUUAAUUUCUGAGCUUUGGGACAAAAGUGUAAAUAUGCAAAAGUUUAAGGGUAAAAAUGUAAUUUUGUCAAAGUUCGAGUUAAGGACUGUUUUGAUGAAUGUGAUUAUUAAAUAAGCUAAAUUUUCUAUUAUAGAUCAAGAAGAACAAAAUUCGAAGUUAGACCGGGGAAAGAAAAAGGUUGAGGACUAAAGUGCUAGAUUUGAUCAUAUUUUGUACCGAGGUAAGUUUAUGGUAAAUAAAUACAAUAUUUCAAUAAUAUUUUUAUUUUCCAAAAAUUAUGCAUUUAUUUUAUGAAUUUAUUUAAUGUUGACUCAAGUAUGAGAUGACAGAGAAUCGGUGUUAAAAAGCCCCGUUGAAAUAUGAGGAAUGUAUUAGAUACAAAUGUCAUGACAUUUGGGUAAAGAGAUCCCAUGUAAGACCAUGUCUGGGACAUGGCAUUGGCAUCAUUGAGAUUAUGAGAGGUCUCAUGUAAGACCAUGUUUGGGACAUGGCGUUGGCACCGAGAUGAGAGGUCCCAUGUAAGACCAUGUCUAGGACAUGGCAUUGGCACCAAGAUGAGAGGUCCCCUGUAAGACCAUGUCUGGGACAUGGCAUGGGCACCUAUAUGAGAACUCCUAUGUAAGACCAUAUCUGGGAUAUGACAUUGGCAGUACAAGAAACAUCCCAUGUAAGACUAUGUCUGGGACAUAGCUUUGGCAUGUUAUAUUCAGACAGGAGACCUGAGUAUCCUUAGUAUUCCAAGUGAUUCAACGGGCUAGUAAAUAGACGAUGUUACAUGAAAGUUCAGGUAAAAGCCUAAUAGACAAGUUCAGGUGAGUUAAUAAGAUUAAGAGUAUCUCAGUUAUCAGUUGAGAAAAGAAAUUUCAGCAACGAAGGAGUAAGUUAAGCAAGCAAGUAAGUAAACGAGUAAGAGAGUAAGUAAAGAAGAAAGUAAAGAUCUUAAUGCUUAAUAAAAAUUUAUGAAUAUAAUUUUUUAUGAUAAAUGUUGUUAUUUAUUUCCUUGUAAACUUACUAAGCUUUAUGCUUAUAUCUUUUAUUUCUUUUUCUUUCAUAUAGUAUUAUCAAGCAUAGUCAGGAUCUUGAAGACGUCGGAAAGCGUUCACACUAUCAACCACCACAACUCGGUAUUUUAAGACAAUAAAUGUUUUGAGCUAUGACAUGUAUAGGGACUUGGUCAUUUCGAUUGUAUAUUCUUAAGAUAUGACCAAAAGAUGAUAUGUAAAUAUUUGAUGAUGAAUAGUUAUUAAAAUGGCUAAAUAUGAAGGUGUUUGUUGUUAUAAAUGUCUAGGUGAUAAAUUAUGCAUAGAAAUCAUGAAAAAGUAAAAAUUGGCAGUGAAUCAGUUUUGAGACAACAGUAGUGAUGUGAUUUUGAAAAAUCACCAAGGAUAGUAGAAAAUGAAUUAGAGGGUGGAUGAGAUAUAGAAAUAAAUCUUAUUGAGUCUAUUUUCAUAGAAAAAUAACAGUGUAGACAAAAAAAUUACGUAUUCUGAGAUAUUUGUAUUUUAGUUAGACAAGGUCAAAGUGGUUUUCGGAAUCCCCUGUUCUGAAUUUGGAAAAUCAUUAAAAUUUUAAAAAAAAUUUAUGAAUUGUAAUUUAUAUGUAUAUAUUCCUUAUUGAGCCUAUUUUCUGUAGAAAUAAGUGAGAACACUAUAUGAAGUCUGUACAAUAAGAUAAUUGAAUUUUAGUGACGAGAGGUUAGGACAGUUGAUCAGUGAAACAGGGAGAUUUUAACUAAUAAACUGUACUAAUUUGCUAAACCUAAAAUUAUAAAAAAUUUAUGGUAAAAAUAUAUAUGAGUCUAGUUUCAGGAAAAAUUUACGGAUCUAAAUUUUGAGUUUCGUAGCUCGAAUUAUAAUUGAUUUAGUGACUGUUGCGCAGGUGGACAGCCAUAUUAUGAACAGUGAAAUAACUUUUAAAAGUAAAUUUUUAUGCCCCGAACUUUUAAGUUAAGUCAAGUAAUGCCUCAUGCUCGACUCCGGCAACGGUCUCGGGUAAGGGUUGUUACAUUGUGUGUCCUUAAGUAACAUAAAUAAAAAUAAUAAAAUGACGACCCUUGAGCAAACAUGAUACAAGUAUUGACUUCAGAGCAUAUGACUUAGGCAUUUCAUACUUACAAACAAUCUUAACAUGAUGAGUAGUUGACUUACCACUUUUGACCACAAACAUCUAAGUUCAGUAUUUUACAAAGUAUACAAGUAUUAAGGGACUCACCUGUAGGAAUCCAUCAACAGAUCAUACAAGUACUUUGAUUAUCUGAGCAUAAUAUAAAUAAUCAUUUAUGCAUAUGUUUAGUACGAUGUCCAUUCAUGUAUAAGAAUAUUUUAGGUCACAUAGGACCUUUCGGCUUGUAACGUUCUGAGGCUUAGGACAAGUAUGAAAUUAAAAAAAAAGUAAGCAUAAAAAAUGGUUACAAACAUGAAAAUAGUUUGGCACAUCAUAUUGGUCCCUAUUCUUCUCCCUUAGUGACCUUUACUUGCUCACUACCUUAUUUCUCAUUCUCUCACCUUCAUUAUCUCUCCACAUAGGAAAUCAUAGCAUGACAUAGUAGUUAUAGCUAGCCUACGAGUUUCUAUGCACUCAUGAACAAGUUUUUCUAUUUUUGUAAAUUUAUGACUUUUCUCUUUUUUUUUUAAUUUUUUCUCACUCAAUAAUGCUUUUUAGCUUUUCAAGUACUUAUCCUACUCGUAUUGAUUUUCUUUUGCAUUUUUCUCUUGUUUUGCACUUUCAAGCUAACAUAUAGUUCCCAUAUCACACUAAUAUUUCCUUUUUCACUCUAUUUUUACAAAAUCCACCGUAAUGUAUCUAUUUAACCCUAAAUAUGUAUGACUAGACGUCUAUAAUCGUGCAGUGUAGGACAAAAGAAAAAAGGCAAAUACAAAUUAACGUUUUCAAGCUCAAGGCUUGUAAUGGGGUUUAUCAAGAAGUGUCAAUAGGCUCAAAAAUUGUUAUUAAAGGUGAAAUAUAAAUAGGAAAGCUUUUUGGCUCUGGAUGUGUUCCAAACAAUGCCUUAGGUCAUCCCUAAAUAUCUCAACAUGCACAAAUUUAAUCAACCAAACAAAUACAAAUUCAACCAUUUAUCAUUCGUACUAGUAUGCUCAUUUCCUUGUAUUUUCUAUAUCACUUGGUACAGUUGAUUACUUAAUGCCUAUUUAUAGUGUAACAUAUAGAACUUAGUAUCUAAUAAUAAAAAAUUUAAAAUCACCUAUCAUCAUACCAAAUUUAUUCAUAAACACAAGCAACCUAUGUACAUGCUCCUAACCAAUCACUUAUGUUUCUACAAGCUCAAGCACUCAAAAGACAAGAAAAAUUUAAAAAUGAAUUUCCUAUGUCACCUCCCCACACUUUAGUUGACACGUUGUCCCCAAUGUGUAGCCCAUAAAAAGACAAGGAAAGAAGUUACCUAAUUGAUCGUGAUCGUUCUAGCUUUUAUUGAUGGGUACUUACUCAUUUGUUAUUUUUGUUUCGUCUGUAGAAGAUCAAAUUGCUUGAAUAAAUCAUCACCGAGUAAUUUCCUUGGGGGAUUCAUGGUUUUAUCCAUCCGUUCAAUAAGUACUCUAGCCCUUUUAUAUAAUUCUGUAAUUAGAUUAGGGAAAAAUAUUCUCUUUCCUAAAUUCCUCGUACAAUCAACCAUUUUCUUAUAUAUCCAUAUUGCAAUACAUAUUUGUUAUUUUUGAAGGUUACCAUAAGUUAUGAUCACUUGGACUAAUCUCAGAAAACUCUGUUAUAGGCCAUAUUCUUGAACAUAUGAAUUUCAUCAACAUAUUAGCUUUUGGUGUCAUUAGCUCCUGAUUUAAUGUUUCAGGUAUUACUAUCCCUGUUCGAUAUGUCCACAUCUCUUUCCAUUUUGUUAGGAAUCUCAAUAUUUCCUCUGUAUCAAUGUUUCUAAAUUCUUUCAAAUCUAUUUUAUAGAGAUAAUCGCGAUAACUAUAACACCUCUAACCCGUACCCGUCGCGGAAAUAGGGCUAUGGAGCAUUACUGUAAAAACAUAUCAUCAAAACAUUUAUUUCAAAACACUUCAUGAAUCAUAUCUUAUUCCACUCAAACACAUUAAUAUCAUCCCUAAUUCGAGCCCCCGAGGCCUUAGACACACUUUAGAAAUGAUUCGGGACUAAAUUGAAAACAUUUCAAAUUUCAUGGGACAAGAUAGAAAAAUUCACACUGCAGGGGUCACACGGUCGUGUGACUCACACGGUUGAGACACAUGCCCGUGUCUUAGAUCGUGUGGAAAUUCAAAGUAGGGACACACAGCCGUGUCCCAGCCCGUGUCCGUGCCCGUGUAACUCUCUAACUUGGGUCACACGGCCAAGCCACACGCCCGUGUGCCAGGCCGUGUAAUAAUUUAUUGUAUUUAGGUUUGUAAUAAUUUAUUUUAUGAAUUGUGGCAUGGGUAUUUUUACGGAGAUAUUUUGAUAUUUGCAUGCAUUGUGACCAAAACUAGAUAAAUUAAAUAACUGAAUAACAAACUAAUAAUUAAUCUUUUAAACUUAAGAAUGAUAGUUUUUAUUAAUAAAUUAUAAACUAUUGACUUUCCAUUGCAAAACUAGUUUUCGAAACUCUGAAUGACAAAUUAAUAGUUAAAUAUGUUUCCAAAAUUAAUAAAAGCUUUUGUUUAAUUGGAUCUUAGUUAAAUUCAACAUAAAUUAAUAAUUUUAUAAAUUCAAGUAAGCCCAUUUUGUUAUUCCAUAAAAUAAGCCAUUACUUUAAGAAAAUAAAAAUUUUCGAAAGCCUAAUUUUUUUCCUAGGUAAUUUUGAUAGCUAAUGUGACCUUCAAAAUCCUAACAUAACUUUUGGCCUGAGUUGAGGAGAUUACAUAAACUACCAUAAAUAUGUGGAUAAACCACUAGAAUUGCAGAUAGACUGCCAGAAAUAUGUGGAUGAAACACCGAAAUUGCAGAUAAAUUGUCAGAAAUUCCUCCUUACAUAUCAUCCCAAUCCCCAUACAAUGCAUUAUGGCAUAACAAAAUCAUAAUCAAUACAAUAGGCAUGCUUCAACAUGAAAUCAGUUUUAAUAGACACAAUGGACAUGCUUUUCAUCAUGCGCUCAGUAAAAUGGUAACAGUAAACAUGUGAUCAGAAUAUCGGCAACAAUAUUCUGCCAUAAUAUCAUAAAACAUACAAAUUAGAACAAAAAAUAUAAUAACAAUAUACACAAUUUCAGUCAACACAGAAGCCAUAGUCAGAGACACUUACAUUCAGCCAACCCUAGUAAAGGGCUUAAAUCUCAUUCGGCUAAUCACCAAAGGCACUCAUGCAUUCGAUUAGUCACAAUUAAGGCAUAGAUCAUAUGGAUACUACUAAACGCAAAUAAAACACUUAUGGACAAUACUUAUGGAAAUUUAUUUGGUUAGAACUCACACCUUAAUUUGUACAUCCCAAACAACACUAUAUCUAAUUUGGAACACUCCUUUGCUACAUAUGUAGUCAGAUCUCGUCCAGAUCUGAACUUUGAAUGAACAAAGCACAGAAAACACACCAUAUUAGAUUUGAUUAUGCUAGAUCUGGAAAAGAUCUAUAAUUAUGAUUACUAACCGAAAGAAGAUUACUUACCCUUAUCUCCGAUUUACAAAUCUAACCCGACAACACUUUGAUAGAUCAGAUUUGAUCAGAUGUGUCCAGAUCUAUACCUUAAACAAAGAAUCAUAUGCAUAUUAGGAUUGGUAUCGUUGGAUCAGGGAAGGAAAAAAAAUGAGAUCUAAUAACAUAAAACACUUACACUUCACCAAAAAUCAGAUCAAGAACGAACAAUUAGUGGAGAUCUAGACGGUUAAAGGAGAUUCGGCUAUAGGAGAAUAAAAAUGGAAAGAAAAAGAGAAGAUGAGAAAAAUUGGUGGCGACACGGCAACAACGCG
Molecule: long non-coding RNA, 7358 nt
Filed under: Gossypium barbadense (sea-island cotton)
Lineage: Eukaryota; Viridiplantae; Streptophyta; Magnoliopsida; Malvales; Malvaceae
Description: long non-coding RNA (GBAR_LNC014064)
Source: RNAcentral